AAUGACCCACUGGUUUCCAGUAAAGUUAUCAUAGCCUACAGUAAUGAUUGAUUUGCUCCAGUGGUAAACUAAAGAACAACUCACAGUCCCACCAAGGCCUCCAAGGGUUGCAUGUUCUAACAACAGCUGGACAUCUUGUGUUCCUGCCCCCUCAGUCAGGAUCUCCACACGUUGGUGUGUAUGGAGGAGGUGCUGGCCUGGCUCUCUGCAGACUGAAUUAUAGUCCUGGUUCUGCACCUUCCCGCUGAGUGUCCUCCUCCAUGGGCUGCCGUUUCUUCAGCAGAUAAGUGAGGGGCUUGGACCAGUUGAAGACGAAGUCCAAACUCAGAUGCCUUCAGCACCAAAGAGGUGACCCAAAUAAUGCCUCAUCCCCUGCUUGGUCCAUAGUGAUGCCAGCCUGUGGUUAUUGGAACCUGGUCUGCCAGACCAAAUGGAGGAAGUCUGCCAGGCAGAUGUGGAACCCAAAAGAGGAACUUCACCAACUGCUGUGGACAGCUCUAGCGCUUCAUGCCCCCGUGGACUUUUGGGGAAGUAUUUUUGUGGCUCACCAGUCUCUCAUUAGGCAAAGGUCACAUGUCCUGUCUUGGCCUUCUCUACUGGUGGAAAGUACGGCUGGGAGAUUUGGAAUGGUUGCUGUUUGACUUUGAUUCUUGGCACGACUGUCACCAUGAGCUUUUUUGGAUUGCUUCAUGGUCACAAGAUGGCUGUUGGAGAUCCAGUCUUCGUGUCUCAAACAGGAAGAAGGAGAAAGGGCCAAAUGCAAAUGGUACAUAAUAGCAGAGUAUAUACCCUCUUUGAAUGAUUUCCUGGAAGCCCCACACCAAG
RNAcentral lists this long non-coding RNA (825 nucleotides) under Monodon monoceros (narwhal). Its description in RNAcentral is "lncRNA (ENSMMNG00015005059.1)". Lineage: Eukaryota; Metazoa; Chordata; Mammalia; Artiodactyla; Monodontidae. The record is from RNAcentral.